Dipodomys ordii (Ord's kangaroo rat) is the source of this 70-nucleotide non-coding RNA. The record is from Rfam. NCBI's taxonomy places the organism in Eukaryota, Metazoa, Chordata, Mammalia, Rodentia, Heteromyidae.
GGGGAGAUGGCUCAGUGGUAGAGCGCUUGCCUUGCAAGCAAGGGGCCCUGGGUUCGAUUCCUCAGCCCCA